Molecule: ribosomal RNA, 1359 nt
Filed under: uncultured soil bacterium
Lineage: Bacteria
Description: bacterial SSU rRNA
Rfam family: Bacterial small subunit ribosomal RNA
Source: RNAcentral
AUUGAACGCUGGCGGCAUGCCUUACACAUGCAAGUCGAACGGCAGCACGGGAGCAAUCCUGGUGGCGAGUGGCGAACGGGUGAGUAAUGUAUCGGAACGUACCUUUCAGUGGGGGAUAACGUAGCGAAAGUUACGCUAAUACCGCGUAUUCUGUGCGCAGGAAAGCAGGGGAUCGCAAGACCUUGCGCUGAUUGAGCGGCCGAUAUCAGAUUAGCUAGUUGGUGAGGUAAAGGCUCACCAAGGCGACGAUCUGUAGCGGGUCUGAGAGGAUGAUCCGCCACACUGGAACUGAGACACGGUCCAGACUCCUACGGGAGGCAGCAGUGGGGAAUUUUGGACAAUGGGGGCAACCCUGAUCCAGCCAUGCCGCGUGAGUGAAGAAGGCCUUCGGGUUGUAAAGCUCUUCCGGCCGGGAAGAAAUCGCAUGGGUUAAUACCCUGUGCGGAUGACGGUACCGGCAUAAGAAGCACCGGCUAACUACGUGCCAGCAGCCGCGGUAAUACGUAGGGUGCGAGCGUUAAUCGGAAUUACUGGGCGUAAAGCGUGCGCAGGCGGUUUUGUAAGACAGGCGUGAAAUCCCCGGGCUCAACCUGGGAACUGCGCUUGUGACUGCAAGGCUAGAGUAUGGCAGAGGGGGGUGGAAUUCCACGUGUAGCAGUGAAAUGCGUAGAGAUGUGGAGGAACACCAAUGGCGAAGGCAGCCCCCUGGGCCAAUACUGACGCUCAUGCACGAAAGCGUGGGUAGCAAACAGGAUUAGAUACCCUGGUAGUCCACGCCCUAAACGAUGUCAACUAGGUGUUGGGUGGGUAAAACCAUUUAGUACCGGAGCUAACGCGUGAAGUUGACCGCCUGGGGAGUACGGCCGCAAGGUUAAAACUCAAAGGAAUUGACGGGGACCCGCACAAGCGGUGGAUGAUGUGGAUUAAUUCGAUGCAACGCGAAAAACCUUACCUACCCUUGACAUGUCCAGGAGCCUGAAGAGAUUUGGGUGUGCCCGAAAGGGAACUGGAACACAGGUGCUGCAUGGCUGUCGUCAGCUCGUGUCGUGAGAUGUUGGGUUAAGUCCCGCAACGAGCGCAACCCUUGUCGUUAAUUGCCAUCAUUCAGUUGGGCACUUUAACGAGACUGCCGGUGACAAACCGGAGGAAGGUGGGGAUGACGUCAAGUCCUCAUGGCCCUUAUGGGUAGGGCUUCACACGUCAUACAAUGGUCGGUACAAAGGGUCGCCAACCCGCGAGGGGGAGCCAAUCCCAGAAAGCCGAUCGUAGUCCGGAUCGUAGGCUGCAACUCGCCUGCGUGAAGUCGGAAUCGCUAGUAAUCGUGGAUCAGCAUGUCACGGUGAAUACGUUCCCGGGUCU